CUCUUAUAAGCUCUCAGAUUUAUCUUUUCAAGAAUACAAAAAGAUUCAAUCUUUUUGAAAGGUGACUAUUUGGAAAGAUGAGGGGAGGAUUGUGGCAACUUGGACAAUCGAUCACCAGACGUCUGGCUCAGGCUGAUAAGAAGACUAUUGGUCGUAGAUGCUUUGCUUCAGAUGCUGAUCUGAAGAAGACUGUUCUGUAUGACUUCCAUGUUGUCAAUGGGGGAAAGAUGGUGCCUUUCGCUGGUUGGAGUAUGCCUAUCCAGUAUAAGGACUCAAUUAUGGACUCAACAGUAAAUUGUAGGGAGAAUGGUAGUCUCUUUGAUGUUUCUCAUAUGUGUGGGCUAAGCCUCAAGGGGAAAGAUACUAUCCCUUUCCUGGAAAAGCUUGUUGUUGCUGAUGUUGCUGGGCUUGCUCCUGGGACUGGUAGUCUCACAGUCUUCACAAAUGAGAAGGGAGGUGCAAUUGAUGAUUCAGUGGUCACCAAGGUGACUGAUGAUCACAUCUACCUUGUUGUAAAUGCGGGUUGCAGGGACAAGGAUCUUGCACACAUUGAGGAGCACAUGAAAUCAUUCAAGUCAAAAGGCGGUGAUGUUUCAUGGCACAUCCAUGAUGAGAGAUCGCUUUUAGCCCUUCAGGGACCCCUUGCUGCUCCAGUUCUUCAAUAUCUGACAAAAGAUGAUUUGAGCAAGAUGUACUUUGGGGAAUUCAGGGUUUUGGAUAUCAAUGGGGCACCAUGCUUCCUCACAAGGACAGGGUAUACUGGUGAAGAUGGAUUUGAAAUUUCAGUACCUUCAGAAAAUGCUCUUGAUCUUGCAAAAGCUCUUCUUGAGAAAUCAGAAGGGAAGAUUCGGUUAACAGGUUUAGGAGCUCGUGACAGUCUUCGUCUUGAGGCUGGAUUGUGCUUAUAUGGUAAUGACAUGGAGCAGCACACAACACCUGUAGAGGCAGGGCUUACAUGGGCCAUAGGGAAGAGAAGAAGGGCAGAAGGAGGCUUCCUUGGUGCUGAGGUAAUACUAAAGCAAAUUGAAGAAGGUCCUAAAAUCAGGCGAGUUGGCUUUUUCUCUUCAGGCCCAC
This 1074-nucleotide unclassified non-coding RNA is filed under the name Hevea brasiliensis (rubber tree). The record is from RNAcentral. Lineage: Eukaryota; Viridiplantae; Streptophyta; Magnoliopsida; Malpighiales; Euphorbiaceae.